Molecule: ribosomal RNA, 232 nt
Filed under: uncultured bacterium
Lineage: Bacteria
Description: partial 16S ribosomal RNA
Rfam family: Bacterial small subunit ribosomal RNA
Source: RNAcentral
UGGGCAACCUGCCCCUAGCACUGGGAUAACCACGGGAAACCGAGGCUAAUACCGGAUAUGACCUCGGUGGGCAUCUUCUGAGGUGGAAAUGUUCCGGCGGCUAGGGAUGGGCCCGCGGCCUAUCAGCUUGUUGGUGGGGUGAUGGCCUACCAAGGCGACGACGGGUAGCCGGCCUGAGAGGGCGACCGGCCACACUGGGACUGAGACACGGCCCAGACUCCUACGGGAGGCA